This 996-nucleotide ribosomal RNA is filed under the name uncultured Gammaproteobacteria bacterium. Its description in RNAcentral is "bacterial SSU rRNA". It matches the Rfam family "Bacterial small subunit ribosomal RNA", at positions 509 to 1504 of the family's 1533-position model. The record is from RNAcentral. Lineage: Bacteria; Pseudomonadati; Pseudomonadota; Gammaproteobacteria.
CAGCAGCCGCGGUAAUACAGAGGGUGCGAGCGUUAAUCGGAAUUACUGGGCGUAAAGCGCGCGUAGGCGGUUAUUUAAGUCAGAUGUGAAAUCCCCGGGCUCAACCUGGGAACUGCACCUGAUACUGGGUAACUAGAGUUUAGGAGAGGGAAGUAGAAUUUCAGGUGUAGCGGUGAAAUGCAUAGAUAUCUGAAGGAAUACCAGUGGCAAAGGCGACUUCCUGGCCUAAAACUGACGCUGAGGUGCGAAAGCGUGGGUAGCAAACGGGAUUAGAUACCCCGGUAGUCCACGCCGUAAACGAUGUCAACUAGUCGUCGGGUCCCUUGAGGAUUCGGUGACGCAGCUAACGCAUUAAGUUGACCGCCUGGGGAGUACGGUCGCAAGACUAAAACUCAAAGGAAUUGACGGGGGCCCGCACAAGCGGUGGAGCAUGUGGUUUAAUUCGAUGCAACGCGAAGAACCUUACCAUCCCUUGACAUCCGGAGAAUUUGCAAGAGAUUGCUUAGUGCCUUCGGGAACUCCGUGACAGGUGCUGCACGGCUGUCGUCAGCUCGUGUCGUGAGAUGUUGGGUUAAGUCCCGCUACGAGCGCAACCCCUAUCCUUGGUUGCUAACAGGUAAUGCUGAGAACUCCAGGGAGACUGCCGGUGACAAACCGGAGGAAGGUGGGGACGACGUCAAGUCAUCAUGGCCCUUAUGGGAUGGGCUACACACGUGCUACAAUGGUCAGUACAGAGGGUCGCAAACUUGCGAGAGUAAGCUAAUCCCACAAAGCUGGUCGUAGUCCGGAUUGGAGUCUGCAACUCGACUCCAUGAAGUUGGAAUCGCUAGUAAUCGUGGAUCAGAAUGCCACGGUGAAUACGUUCCCGGGCCUUGUACACACCGCCCGUCACACCAUGGGAGUGGGCUGCAAAAGAAGUAGGUAGACUAACCUUCGGGAUGUCGCUUACCACUUUGUGGUUCAUGACUGGGGUGAAGUCGUAACAAGGUAACCGUA